GGAGCUACGGCUCGCGUCGCGCUCCGCCGGGACUCGGGGCGCGCGCGCUCCCCGCCCCGGCCGCCCGAAAACUCCGGCCCAGCCCGCGCCCGCCCCGCGCCCGCACGCGCGCUCACACCCCCACGCGCGCGCUCACACCCCCACGGACUUCUGGUUGGCCUCCCACCUCCACGCGCGCCCACUCCCAGUCCUGCCCGCUUCUCUGUUGCCCCGCGGGCUCCGCGGGCGAGAGCGCCGAGGGGACCCACGGCCUUUUCCCCAUGGCUGACCUGAGCUUCAUCGAAGAUUCCGUCGCCUUCCCGGAGAAGGAGGAGGAUGAAGAGGAGGAGGAGGAGGGGGUGGAGUGGGGCUACGAAGAAGGUGUUGAGUGGGGCUUGGUGUUUCCUGAUGCUAAUGGGGAAUACCAGUCCCCCAUUAAUUUAAACUCAAGAGAAGCUAGAUAUGACCCCUCACUGCUGGAUGUCCGUCUCUCCCCAAAUUAUGUGGUCUGCCGGGACUGCGAAGUCACCAACGAUGGACAUACCAUUCAGGUUAUCCUGAAGUCAAAAUCAGUUCUAUCAGGAGGUCCAUUGCCUCAAGGGCAUGAAUUUGAACUGUAUGAAGUUAGAUUUCAUUGGGGGCGAGAAAACCAGCGUGGUUCUGAGCACACAGUUAAUUUCAAAGCCUUUCCCAUGGAGCUGCAUCUGAUCCACUGGAACUCCACCCUGUUCGGCAGUAUGGACGAGGCGGUGGGGAAGCCGCACGGCAUUGCCAUCAUUGCUUUGUUUGUUCAGAUAGGAAAAGAACACGUAGGCUUGAAGGCUGUGACUGAAAUCCUCCAGGAUAUUCAGUACAAGGGGAAGUCCAAAACAAUACCCUGCUUUAAUCCUAACACUUUAUUACCAGAUCCUUUGCUUCGGGAUUAUUGGGUGUAUGAAGGCUCUCUUACCAUUCCGCCUUGCAGUGAAGGUGUUACCUGGAUUUUAUUCCGAUAUCCUUUAACGAUAUCCCAGCUGCAGAUUGAAGAAUUUCGAAGGCUGAGGACACACGUGAAGGGGGCAGAGCUUGUGGAAGGCUGUGAUGGGAUUUUGGGAGACAAUUUUAGACCCACUCAGCCACUUAGUGACAGAGUCAUUAGAGCUGCAUUUCAGUAGCCAAAGAGAAGAGGAACAAGACGGUCUUCAUCAGGAGAUAAACCGAGGCUGAAGGAGGUUGAGUAACUUGGGUCAUGGUCACAGCCAGUAAAGUACAGAGCAAGGAUUCAGACCCAGAUAUUUUCCCAGAAAUGAGACUUCUGGGAAAAAAGGACACGCAUGUUUCUGUUUUUGGUAACAUAUUGCUGCAAUACAGGCUUAUGAUAAUAAGGGUUAUGCAAAUGAUGCAGGCUGGCUGGGUCCCGGAGAACCCAGCGUGGGUCCUGCAGGACCAGCCAACAUAGUCCUUGGCUUAGUACAGGAUAGAAAUCAACCUCCAGCCAUGAGGAAGUGAGAACAAAUUUUACUGAAGACCUAGAGUGAGUGCAGAUAUGGGCAGAGCAUCUGGGAGACUUGGAAAGAAGACAGGAGAGUGAGUCUUAUUGUUGCUUGGGGUCUUGGGUUUUUACUGGGGAUUGUGGUCCAGUGCCUAUGUCUUCUCAUGCAUCCAGGAACAAAGAUGAGUGUUGAGGUGUGCUCCGCACAUCACGUACGCUCUGGAACCAGGGCUUUUGGUGUCAGUGGUCUUGGAAAAUGUUUAUGAUGACCAUGCUUGGUCACUCCUAAGAUGUUAUCUACUGAGAAACCACUAACUCCUUGACCUCUGGAGGGGGAUAGACCUAAUCUGUUCUGUGAGGCUUGUGGAAGGCAGGGGUGUAGGUCUUCACAAGAAUAAAGGCAGAAGGAGUUAAAAAAAGCAGUUUUUCAUGGGGUCCCUUUAUGUAUGUACACAAAUGCUUGUACCACUGAUUGAAUAUUUUAUAGAAAGUGUUUCUGCCAUUUUUUUCUUAUCACUCGGUAUACUUUCCACCUCUUUCUCAUUUCUUUUUUCCUCCUUGAUUUUUUGAAAUGUGUUCAUCUCCCCUCUGCCUCUUGAAAUUGCUGUGGCAAGAGUUGCCUUUGAUUUCUUUCUUUUUUUGUUCUUUGUUCCCAUGUCUCUAAAUAUGAUGCUUGUUCAGGACAAAAAAUUCAAACAGUAUGGAACAAAAUAAAGAAGAAGUAAUGGAUUUCUCAAAGCCUCCUGUCAGUAACAGCCAUCACCAGGACUGGGGUGAACAUGGAGACCCCAUAGCACAGUGGGAAGGUCUUGCGUUCCAUUUUGACUCCACCACUAAUUAGUUGCGUGAUCCUGAAAAAGUUGCUGAUGUCUCUUAAGUUAUUUUUGUCAUCAGUCACAAGAAGUCCCUAAGUACCUCAGAGUGUUACUGUGAAUAUUCACUGAGAUGAUGGAAAGGGCUUACCAUGGUUUUGGUCCACGGUGAGGAAGACAACGAUCCUAUAGUGCCCUUCGAUGAGAAACGGAAACUUUUGAGCUGCAGCUAUGGCUGACCCUCAAAGCCUGCAUUGUUUGUCUUCAUCUAACCCAGCUCUGAUGGACCUCUGUGACAGCUGCCUCUACAUGUGCUCUAAUGAAAUACUAGAAGUGGCUGUACAUUCAAAAAAACCCCAAUAUUUUAUAUCCAUACCACUGCUGCUAGGAUUCAGAUUUUAGCACAUACUGUUUUUUUGCUUAUGUGUAGAAGAAACUAGUUUUCAGAGUUGUUAUUAAUAUGAAUAUAUAUCACAUAUUAAUACUGAGACAGGAAAAAUACACUCUGUGUUAGCGGUCCUUCAUUUCCUGUCUCAGAAAAUUCACUCAUUUGGAGAAUAAUAUAAUUCUUAAUAAUAAGAGUUUUGAUCAGGGACAGCAUACGGCUUGCAAAUGGAACGUGAAAGAUUAGUGAAGGUCGUAUCGCAUGUUGUUCAGCCCUCCUGCCACAAUUAAUGUCAUGCUGGUUCUUAUGCAAAACAAUUUUGGAGUUAAUGCAACAACAGAAUCACUUUAUGUAUUUCUCAAAGGAUCAAAUUGAAUGUAGGAAUCUAAUUGAUUUAUCUGACAUAUUAGAAGCUCUGGUUUCUAGGAGUUUGAGAAAGGCAUAAAAAUGGGAUAAAAAGUAAGUGGGUACUACUUACCAGAAAAUAGCUUUAUUUUCAAUGAUAGAAACAUAAAUUUAAUAGUAUCCUAUAAUAAUUUAGUGUUGUACAUUUUGUAAGACCUUAAAAUAUUUUAUUCUAUGGAUUUUACUUUAGUAUAUUGAGACAUUGCUUUCUAAAAUAAUCCACAAUAUCUUUAUUUUAAUUAAUUUUAAGUGCUACUGGCAAUUGUAAGCAUAUGCUUAGAAGUAGUUAGAUGUGACAAAAUGAGAUAAUUUGUGUAAACUAGUAGUAUGCCUGGCACAAAGCAAGUACUUAAUAAAUGUUAUUUGUUGUUACAA
This is an RNA transcript of Mustela lutreola (European mink), 3427 nucleotides long. It is a transcript of the gene named carbonic anhydrase 8, with no coding region annotated. The record is from RefSeq and is a predicted model, not a curated record. Lineage: Eukaryota; Metazoa; Chordata; Mammalia; Carnivora; Mustelidae. The transcript has 11 exons.